UAAGGAAUAUUGCUCAAUGGGAGAAAUCCUGAAGCAGCAACGCCGCGUGGAGGAUGAAGGGUCUAUGACUUGUAAACUCCUGUAAAGAAGGAAAAAAUUCCCAUUAGAUGGGAGAUGAUGGUACUUCUGGAGUAAGCCCCGGCUAACUACGUGCCAGCAGCCGCGGUAAUACGUAGGGGGCAAGCGUUGUCCGGCUUUACUGGGUGUAAAGGGUGCUCAGGCGGAUUUGUAAGUCAGAGGUGAAAUCUUACAGCUUAACUGUGAAACUGCCUUUGAUACUGCAAGCCUAGAGUAUGGAAGAGAGUGAUGGAAUAUCUGGUGUAGCAGUGAAAUGCGUAGAUAUCAGAUAGAACACCAAUGGCGAAGGCAGUCACUUGGUCCAUUACUGACGCUAAAGCACGAAAGCGUGGGUAGCAAAC
Molecule: ribosomal RNA, 419 nt
Filed under: uncultured bacterium
Lineage: Bacteria
Description: bacterial SSU rRNA
Rfam family: Bacterial small subunit ribosomal RNA
Source: RNAcentral